CCUACGGGAGGCUGCAGUGGGGAAUAUUGCACAAUGGGGGAAACCCUGAUCCAGCGACGCCGCGUGAGUGAAGAAGUAUUUCGGUAUGUAAAGCUCUAUUAGCAGGGAAGAAAAUGACGGUCCCUGAGUAGUAAGCCCCGUCUAACUACGUUCCAGCAGCCGCGGGAAUACGUAGGGGGCAAGCGUUAGCCGGAUUUGCUGGGUGUAAAGGGGGCGUAGACGGCAGUGCAAGUCGUGAGUGAAAGGCGUGGGGUUAAACCCCGGACUGCUCUGGAAACUGUACGGCUUGAGUGCAGGAGAGGUAAGUGGAAUUCCUAGUGUAGCGGUGAAAUGCGUAGAUAUUAGGAGGAACACCAGUGGCGAAGGCGGCUUACUGGCCUGUAACUGACGCUGAGGCUCGAAAGCGUGGGGAGCAAACAGGAUUAGAUACCCCUGUAGUC
Molecule: ribosomal RNA, 440 nt
Filed under: uncultured bacterium
Lineage: Bacteria
Description: partial 16S ribosomal RNA
Rfam family: Bacterial small subunit ribosomal RNA
Source: RNAcentral